This 460-nucleotide ribosomal RNA is filed under the name uncultured bacterium. Its description in RNAcentral is "partial 16S ribosomal RNA". It matches the Rfam family "Bacterial small subunit ribosomal RNA", at positions 28 to 507 of the family's 1533-position model. The record is from RNAcentral.
GACGAACGCUGGCGGCGUGCUUAACACAUGCAAGUCGAACGCUGAACCCGCUUCGGUGGGGGAUGAGUGGCGAACGGGUGAGUAACACGUGGGCAACCUGCCCCCGGCUCUGGGAUAACUCCAAGAAAUUGGGGCUAAUACCGGAUGUGACCGCUGGCCGCAUGGUCUGGUGGUGGAAAGGGUUUCCGGCUGGGGAUGGGCCCGCGGCCUAUCAGCUUGUUGGUGGGGUAGUGGCCUACCAAGGCGACGACGGGUAGCCGGCCUGAGAGGGUGACCGGCCAGAGCGGGACGGAGACAGGGCGCAGACCCCUCCGGGCGGCAGGCGGUGGGAAGGUUGGACACUGGGGGAAAGCCUGAUCCAGCAAUGCCGCGUGAGGGAUGAAGGGGUUAGGGGCGUAAAGCUCUCGGACAAGGGAUGAUAAGGACAGUACCGGGAGAAGAAGCUCGGGGUAACUCCGUG